UCUGCCAAAAGUAACUACAAC
This 21-nucleotide unclassified non-coding RNA is filed under the name Mus musculus (house mouse). Its description in RNAcentral is "oocyte_clustered_small_RNA11837". The record is from RNAcentral. Lineage: Eukaryota; Metazoa; Chordata; Mammalia; Rodentia; Muridae.